UACGUAGGGGGCAAGCGUUGUCCGGAAUUAUUGGGCGUAAAGAGCUCGUAGGUGGUUUGUCGCGUUGUUCGUGAAAACUCACAACUCAAUUGUGGGCGUGCGGGCGAUACGGGCAGACUGGAGUACUGCAGGGGAGACUGGAAUUCCUGGUGUAGCGGUGGAAUGCGCAGAUAUCAGGAGGAACACCGGUGGCGAAGGCGGGUCUCUGGGCAGUAACUGACGCUGAGGAGCGAAAGCGUGGGGAGCAAACAGG
Molecule: ribosomal RNA, 253 nt
Filed under: uncultured bacterium
Lineage: Bacteria
Description: partial 16S ribosomal RNA
Rfam family: Bacterial small subunit ribosomal RNA
Source: RNAcentral